This 1249-nucleotide long non-coding RNA is filed under the name Homo sapiens (human). Its description in RNAcentral is "HSALNT0334264". The record is from RNAcentral. Lineage: Eukaryota; Metazoa; Chordata; Mammalia; Primates; Hominidae.
AUCCUCCCGCCUUGGCCUCCCAAAGUGCUGGGAUUACAGGCGUGAGCCACAGCACCUGGCCAUCUUACCCAUUUUUAUAUCCUGCUGCCCACCCCCUCCAGCAACUAGGCCUGCACCUAGAAAGAUAUUAUCAAAUGUCCCUGCCACAUCCCUGCCAGUAUCCCUGUCUGUCCCCAGCCAGCCCACACAACGGAUGCACAGAAAGGACCUGUCUUCUUUGACAAAGGAGGCUGAUGAUCUAAUACUCUCUUCUGACUUCCUAGCUUGAAUGCUGUUCCAUCUCUUCCUCCCACAGACCAGGACUCAAAGGGCAGCGCAUUUUCUCUGGAAAGACCCAUGUCAUAAUGCACCUUUGUAUGAAGCAGCAACCUUUGCACUGUCUCCAGUUAGUACUUUCAGAGGAAUUAGCUUAUCAGAGUAACUAGUUGGCACCUUAACAGGCAUGCAGAAUCUGACUCAGGAACAGAGACUCAAGAGAACUAAGGUGCAGUAGGAAGCAGGUGGCAGAGUGAAGAUCUUAAAGCCAAAGUGGGAGCUCAAAACCAGGAAGGAGCCAGGCACAGUGGCAUAUGCCUGUGGUCUCAGCUACUCAGGAGGCCAAGAUAAGAGGAUCACUUGAGCCCAGGAGUUUAAGACCAGCCCCGGCAACACAGUGAGACCUCAAAAACAACCCAGUUAUGGCAUGAGAAUCUGGCUGGAUGUGCUUCACCACCACCCAGAAGAGCCCCAUGGGGAUGUAGAGAUUAAAUCCAAUCAUCUCUAAGGUCCAUUCCCAACUGGAAUUUUAGAAUUUCAGAAGCAGGAACAUUUCCUACCUAUAGUUGAGCAGUUUCAUGCUACAUCAUGGUGGAUCCCUCCCAAGUCACCACUGCCUAACAUUCCACAGAAUAUAGUUGAAAGAAUUGAAGAUGCAGAGUACUGAGCCCUCCACCUGCAAAUGCAUACAGCCAUGAACAGAUGGGUGUAAACUGAGGCAGUGGAGGGAGAGGGGUACUCCCAAGCCCUGAAAAUCUCAGAGUAAGAGGCCACCGACGACAGCGCUCACCGGUGCUGAGCUCCCUUCUACAGAAACCUGCAAAGACUCAGAUCGAGGAGGAAAUACACCAGGAAAAUGUCACAGGAUCAUCUCGAGCAGUCCCUUCCAGCGCCAAGCCAUUCAUUCAAGAAUGACUCAGGGCCGGGCGUGGUGGCUCACACCUGUAAUCCCAGCACUUUGGGAGGCCGAGGCAGGCGGAUCACGAGGUCAAGA